Molecule: transfer RNA, 104 nt
Filed under: Candidatus Helarchaeota archaeon
Lineage: Archaea; Promethearchaeati; Candidatus Helarchaeota
Description: tRNA-Arg
Rfam family: tRNA
About the family: Transfer RNA (tRNA) molecules are approximately 80 nucleotides in length. Their secondary structure includes four short double-helical elements and three loops (D, anti-codon, and T loops).
Source: RNAcentral
GGGCCCAUGGCGCAGCCUGGAUAGCGCGCAGGCCUCCGGAGCCUGAGACAAUUACCAGCUAUAAUUGGGGCAAAUCUGGGGUUCAAAUCCCUGUGGGCCCGCCA